CGGGUGAGUAACACGUGGGUGACCUGCCCUUAGCUCUGGGGAUAAGCCUGGGAAACUGGGUCUAAUACCGGAUAUGAUUCCAUGACGCAUGUUGUGGGGUGGAAAGCCUUGUGCGGCUAGGGAUGGGCCCGCGGCCUAUCAGCUUGUUGGUGGGGUGAUGGCCUACCAAGGCGACGACGGGUAGCCGGCCUGAGAGGGCGACCGGCCACACUGGGACUGAGACACGGCCCAG
This 232-nucleotide ribosomal RNA is filed under the name uncultured bacterium. Its description in RNAcentral is "partial 16S ribosomal RNA". It matches the Rfam family "Bacterial small subunit ribosomal RNA", at positions 103 to 334 of the family's 1533-position model. The record is from RNAcentral.